RNAcentral lists this ribosomal RNA (254 nucleotides) under uncultured bacterium. RNAcentral's name for it is "partial 16S ribosomal RNA". It matches the Rfam family "Bacterial small subunit ribosomal RNA", at positions 524 to 776 of the family's 1533-position model. The record is from RNAcentral.
UACGGGGGGGGCAAGCGUUGUUCGGAAUUACUGGGCGUAAAGGGCUCGUAGGCGGCCAACUAAGUCAGACGUGAAAUCCCUCGGCUUAACCGGGGAACUGCGUCUGAUACUGGAUGGCUUGAGUUUGGGAGAGGGAUGCGGAAUUCCAGGUGUAGCGGUGAAAUGCGUAGAUAUCAGGAGGAACACCAAUGGCGAAGGCAGCUCGCUGGGACGUGACUGACGCUGGAGACGCGAAAGCGUGGGGAGCAAACAGG